ACCUAGGUGGCUUAGCCAGUUAAGCAUCUGACUUCAGCUCAGGUCAUGAUCUCACGAUUUGUGGGUUCGAGCCCCUCAUUGGGCU
RNAcentral lists this transfer RNA (85 nucleotides) under Felis catus (domestic cat). It matches the Rfam family "tRNA". From Rfam's summary of the family: Transfer RNA (tRNA) molecules are approximately 80 nucleotides in length. Their secondary structure includes four short double-helical elements and three loops (D, anti-codon, and T loops). Further hydrogen bonds mediate the characteristic L-shaped molecular structure. tRNAs have two regions of fundamental functional importance: the anti-codon, which is responsible for specific mRNA codon recognition, and the 3' end, to which the tRNAs corresponding amino acid is attached (by aminoacyl-tRNA synthetases). tRNAs cope with the degeneracy of the genetic code in two manners: having more than one tRNA (with a specific anti-codon) for a particular amino acid; and 'wobble' base-pairing, i.e. permitting non-standard base-pairing at the 3rd anti-codon position. The record is from Rfam by way of RNAcentral. Lineage: Eukaryota; Metazoa; Chordata; Mammalia; Carnivora; Felidae.